GAAUUUCUCAGUCAGACCCUGAAAUCAAAAUAAGUUAGCAUUGUGCAAAUUUUAUUUAGAACUCCGCUUUUGAUGCAUGUUCACAUUCAAGAUAAUGAGCAACUCAGAUUUCAAUAAUACAAGUUAUUGUACAGAACUCAGGUUACCCGUAUCAAUUUACUUUCAGGCAAAGUUUGAUAGCAAUGUCAAUGGCAGAAGAUUGAUAUUAGCGGAUUUCUCAUGAUCUAAUGCUUAACCCACCCAAGGGACCGGAGAAAUAUAGCUUAGGGAAAUUAUUUGGUGCACUCCAUCCAUGUAUACUCUUACAAUGAUGUGAGUUUCAUUAUCCAUAAUUCAAUGAAAAACUGUUCUUUUUUCAGAGAGGGUGCACAUGCAAAGCGUAUAUAUUACUUACAGCACUAAGCAAAACAAGUUUAGUUAGAAUAAUGAAACUGAAGA
RNAcentral lists this unclassified non-coding RNA (438 nucleotides) under Hevea brasiliensis (rubber tree). The record is from RNAcentral. Lineage: Eukaryota; Viridiplantae; Streptophyta; Magnoliopsida; Malpighiales; Euphorbiaceae.